UUNUNNCCGACCUGCCCCAUGCUCCGGAAUAGCUCCUGGAAACGGGUGGUAAUGCCGGAUGUUCCACAUGAGCGCAUGCGAUUGUGGGAAAGCUUUUGCGGCGUGGGAUGGGGUCGCGUCCUAUCAGCUUGAUGGCGGGGUAACGGCCCACCAUGGCUUCGACGGGUAGCCGGCCUGAGAGGGCGACCGGCCACAUUGGGACUGAGAUACGGCCCAGACUCCUACGGGAGGCAGCAGUGGGGAAUAUUGCACAAUGGGCGCAAGCCUGAUGCAGCGACGCCGCGUGAGGGAUGGAGGCCUUCGGGUUGUAAACCUCUUUUAGCAGGGAGCAAGCGUUAANUGAUG
This 345-nucleotide ribosomal RNA is filed under the name Bifidobacterium sp. RNAcentral's name for it is "bacterial SSU rRNA". It matches the Rfam family "Bacterial small subunit ribosomal RNA", at positions 115 to 462 of the family's 1533-position model. The record is from RNAcentral. Lineage: Bacteria; Bacillati; Actinomycetota; Actinomycetes; Bifidobacteriales; Bifidobacteriaceae.